UAGGAAUUAGAAUUUGGGUCCUUGUGCUU
RNAcentral lists this non-coding RNA (29 nucleotides) under Rattus norvegicus (Norway rat). Lineage: Eukaryota; Metazoa; Chordata; Mammalia; Rodentia; Muridae. The record is from RNAcentral.